Molecule: long non-coding RNA, 1196 nt
Organism: Triticum aestivum (bread wheat)
Lineage: Eukaryota; Viridiplantae; Streptophyta; Magnoliopsida; Poales; Poaceae
Exons: 2
Source: RefSeq, a predicted model, not a curated record
AACCUAGGUAAAUAAGUUCUCCUUUGUUAGGUCCUUCAAGUUAUGUACUUUUGCUGCCACUAAUUGUGAACUAUAUUCAGCAUUGAGCAUUCUAAUUCUUCUUCUGCAUUGUUCUCUACCUCGACAACUGCUGUAGUGCAGGCUGAAGCGAUGGCAUGUAUGAUUGAUGUAGGUUCAUCUCAAUAAGAAAUAUUUGGUGUAUAGUAUGUUGGUCCCAGCCUACUUGCUGUAACUCCUGAUUUUGAUGGAUUUUUUUCACGACUUUGAUUAUACAAUGUAGAAUUUGUACUGUUUUGAGCCAAAUUCAAUAGAGUAUAUCAUCCAAUGCUAACGGUUUCAAUUAUCAUGGUAUAUUCAAGUCAAAGCUAAAUACUGGUCAGUGCCCGCCUAGCUUGGCAAAGAUUGCAGGUUAAUCUACUUUGGUGCUGUAGGUUCUUUUCUUCUUACUCUUAUUCUUUAGGUUUUAUUUGUUAUUCCUAUUUCCAUUUAGGGCAAAAAAAUCUGGGAAUUGUUUGGACAAAUGUACCUUUUAAGCGUUCUCCCUUCGUGCCCAAAACAAUGUUAGGUGGGCCAAGAUAAUACUUUUAGGCGUUCAGAAAGAGUCACAUCUAUAAUUAGCUUUCAGCUUGCUAUAUCCAGUGUGAACUACUAGAAAUAUGUACAUCUACUGAAAGAGUCAUAGUUAUAUAUUUUUAGCUAUUAGCUCAUUGUAUCCAAUACCUGUGAAGUUGUAUGUUUAUAGUUUUGGAAAUAAGUGUGGAAUAUUGGCUGCUGGUACCUAUGUACGGUAACUUAAGUAUAUCGUCAAGAACACUUUAUGCUCAGCAAUCGUACAAAGUAAAUGACGCAUUUCCUUUCAAUGGAUAGACAAAAAGUGGACGGGGGGCUUCCAUGCCACAUCCAUGGCUACUGCUGGAAGUUGAUUGGCGGUCUUCAUGUCCCAAAAUGCUAGUUUUAUAGAUUAUGAAGCAACCAUAAGGACUGGAUUCAGAAAGAACCAUGAAGCCAAUGGUCCAUGUCAAAUAGAUGUUUGAGCUUUCAUUUUGUACAACUGAUGCCUCAUACUUGCAUCUGAUGUAUGGUGUAUGGUGUAUGGUCUCUUGGUGGGUAUAUUUAGAAUAGACUGAAGUGUAUGUAUGUGACAAAUAGUUAAUGAAAUAAAAAAUAUUUGGUGCACCUAAAAUAUGGUGUCUUGG